Molecule: ribosomal RNA, 407 nt
Filed under: uncultured bacterium
Lineage: Bacteria
Description: bacterial SSU rRNA
Rfam family: Bacterial small subunit ribosomal RNA
Source: RNAcentral
UGGGGAAUAUUGCACAAUGGGCGCAAGCCUGAUGCAGCAACGCCGCGUGAGGGACGACGGCCUUCGGGUUGUAAACCUCUCUUGGCAGGGAAGAAGCGAAAGUGACGGUACCUGCAGAAAAAGCACCGGCUAACUACGUGCCAGCAGCCGCGGUGAUACGUAGGGUGCAAGCGUUGUCCGGAAUUAUUGGGCGUAAAGAGCUCGUAGGCGGUUUGUCGCGUCUGCUGUGAAAACCCGAGGCUCAACCUCGGGCCUGCAGUGGGUACGGGCAAACUAGAGUGCGGUAGGGGAGAUUGGAAUUCCUGGUGGAGCGGUGGAAUGCGCAGAUAUCAGGAGGAACACCGAUGGCGAAGGCAGAUCUCUGGGCCGUAACUGACGCUGAGGAGCGAAAGCAUGGGGAGCGAACA